Molecule: ribosomal RNA, 238 nt
Filed under: uncultured bacterium
Lineage: Bacteria
Description: partial 16S ribosomal RNA
Rfam family: Bacterial small subunit ribosomal RNA
Source: RNAcentral
CCGGCGCACGGUGGGUAACACGUAUCCAACCUGCCGUCUACUCUUGGACAGCCUUCUGAAAGGAAGAUUAAUACAAGAUGGCAUCAUGAGUUCACAUGUUCACAUGAUUAAAGGUAUUCCGGUAGACGAUGGGGAUGCGUUCCAUUAGAUAGUAGGCGGGGUAACGGCCCACCUAGUCUUCGAUGGAUAGGGGUUCUGAGAGGAAGGUCCCCCACAUUGGAACUGAGACACGGUCCAA